CUUGCUACCUGACCUAGCGGCGGACGGGUGAGUAAUGCUUAGGAAUCUGCCUAUUAGUGGGGGACAACAUCUCGAAAGGGAUGCUAAUACCGCAGACGUCCUACGGGAGAAAGCAGGGGACCUUCGGGCCUUGCGCUAAUAGAUGAGCCUAAGUCGGAUUAGCUAGUUGGUGGGGUAAAGGCCUACCAAGGCGACGAUCUGUAGCGGGUCUGAGAGGAUGAUCCGCCACACUGGGACUGAGACACGGCCCAGACUCCUACGGGAGGCAGCAGUGGGGAAUAUUGGACAAUGGGGGGAACCCUGAUCCAGCCAUGCCGCGUGUGUGAAGAAGGCCUUUUGGUUGUAAAGCACUUUAAGCGAGGAGGAGGCUACCGAGAUUAAUACUCUUGGAUAGUGGACGUUACUCGCAGAAUAAGCACCGGCUAACUCUGUGCCAGCAGCCGCGGUAAUACAGAGGGUGCAAGCGUUAAUCGGAUUUACUGGGCGUAAAGCGCGCGUAGGUGGCCAAUUAAGUCAAAUGUGAAAUCCCCGAGCUUAACUUGGGAAUUGCAUUCGAUACUGGUUGGCUAGAGUAUGGGAGAGGAUGGUAGAAUUCCAGGUGUAGCGGUGAAAUGCGUAGAGAUCUGGAGGAAUACCGAUGGCGAAGGCAGCCAUCUGGCCUAAUACUGACACUGAGGUGCGAAAGCAUGGGGAGCAAACAGGAUUAGAUACCCUGGUAGUCCAUGCCGUAAACGAUGUCUACUAGCCGUUGGGGCCUUUGAGGCUUUAGUGGCGCAGCUAACGCGAUAAGUAGACCGCCUGGGGGAGUACGGUCGCAAGACUAAAACUCAAAUGAAUUGACGGGGGCCCGCACAAGCGGUGGAGCAUGUGGUUUAAUUCGAUGCAACGCGAAGAACCUUACCUGGUCUUGACAUAGUAAGAACUUUCCA
This 929-nucleotide ribosomal RNA is filed under the name Staphylococcus sp. RNAcentral describes it as "bacterial SSU rRNA". It matches the Rfam family "Bacterial small subunit ribosomal RNA", at positions 79 to 1002 of the family's 1533-position model. Lineage: Bacteria; Bacillati; Bacillota; Bacilli; Caryophanales; Staphylococcaceae. The record is from RNAcentral.